CCGAGAGCUCCUGCAGUCAGGGAGAGGGGCUGCUCUGGAUUAGCGGCGGACGGGUCAUUAAUGCCUAGGAAUCUGCCUGGUAGUGGGGGAUAACGUCCGGAAACGGGCGCUAAUACCGCAUACGUCCUGAGGGAGAAAGUGGGGGAUCUUCGGACCUCACGCUAUCAGAUGAGCCUAGGUCGGAUUAGCUAGUUGGUGGGGUAAAGGCCUACCAAGGCGACGAUCCGUAACUGGUCUGAGAGGAUGAUCAGUCACACUGGAACUGAGACACGGUCCAGACUCCUACGGGAGGCAGCAGUGGGGAAUAUUGGACAAUGGGCGAAAGCCUGAUCCAGCCAUGCCGCGUGUGUGAAGAAGGUCUUCGGAUUGUAAAGCACUUUAAGUUGGGAGGAAGGGCAGUAAGUUAAUACCUUGCUGUUUUGACGUUACCAACAGAAUAAGCACCGGCUAACUUCGUGCCAGCAGCCGCGGUAAUACGAAGGGUGCAAGCGUUAAUCGGAAUUACUGGGCGUAAAGCGCGCGUAGGUGGUUCGGCAAGUUGGAUGUGAAAUCCCCGGGCUCAACCUGGGAACUGCGUCCAAAACUACUGAGCUAGAGUACGGGAGAGGGGGGUGGAAUUUCUCGCGAGGAGGCCAAAUGCGAAUAUAUAUCAAGGAACGCCUGGACCACAGGGGUACCCCUGCCUGUUUGCUCCCCACGAUUGUCCCACUCAGGGGCAGCAACCGGGCAUGAGGUCCCCUGUUGCCCG
This 748-nucleotide ribosomal RNA is filed under the name Pseudomonas sp. BFPB14. RNAcentral describes it as "bacterial SSU rRNA". It matches the Rfam family "Bacterial small subunit ribosomal RNA", at positions 62 to 797 of the family's 1533-position model. Lineage: Bacteria; Pseudomonadati; Pseudomonadota; Gammaproteobacteria; Pseudomonadales; Pseudomonadaceae. The record is from RNAcentral.